UGGGGGAUAUUGCACAAUGGGCGAAAGCCUGAUGCAGCGACGCCGCGUGGGGGAUGAAGGCCUUCGGGUUGUAAACCUCUUUUGCUAUCGAACAAGGCCCGCUUAGGGUGGGUUGAGGGUAGGUGGAGAAGAAGCGCCGGCCAACUACGUGCCAGCAGCCGCGGUAAUACGUAGGGCGCGAGCGUUGUCCGGAAUUAUUGGGCGUAAAGGGCCUGUAGGCGGCUUGUUGCGCCUGCUGUGAAAACGCGGGGCUUAACUUCGCGCGUGCAGUGGGUACGGGCAGGCUUGAGUGUGGUAGGGGUGACUGGAAUUCCAGGUGUAGCGGUGGAAUGCGCAGAUAUCUGGAGGAACACCGAUGGCGAAGGCAGGUCACUGGGCCAUUACUGACGCUGAGGGGCGAAAGCAUGGGUAGCGAAAAGG
RNAcentral lists this ribosomal RNA (420 nucleotides) under Chloroflexota bacterium. RNAcentral's name for it is "Chloroflexi bacterium partial 16S ribosomal RNA". It matches the Rfam family "Bacterial small subunit ribosomal RNA", at positions 355 to 776 of the family's 1533-position model. Lineage: Bacteria; Bacillati; Chloroflexota. The record is from RNAcentral.